RNAcentral lists this ribosomal RNA (642 nucleotides) under uncultured bacterium. RNAcentral describes it as "bacterial SSU rRNA". It matches the Rfam family "Bacterial small subunit ribosomal RNA", at positions 244 to 885 of the family's 1533-position model. The record is from RNAcentral.
GCUUGUUGGUGAGGUAACGGCUCACCAAGGCGACGACGGGUAGCUGGUCUGAGAGGAUGGCCAGCCACAUUGGGACUGAGAGACGGCCCAGACUCCUACGGGAGGCAGCAGUGGGGAAUCUUGCGCAAUGGCCGAAAGGCUGACGCAGCGACGCCGCGUGGGGGAUGAAGGGUUUCGGCUCGUAAACCCCUGUUGCCCGGGACGAACGUCUGAUUUCGACCAGAGUGACGGUACCGGGUGAGGGAGCACCGGCUAACUCCGUGCCAGCAGCCGCGGUAAUACGGAGGGUGCGAGCGUUGUCCGGAAUCACUGGGCGUAAAGGGCGCGUAGGUGGCAGGUCAAGCGUGCGGUGAAAGCUCGGGGCUCAACCCCGAGUCGGCCGUGCGAACUGGCCAGCUGGAGCAUUGUAGAGGCAGAUGGAAUUCCGGGUGUAGCGGUGGAAUGCGUAGAGAUCCGGAAGAACACCGGUGGCGAAGGCGGUCUGCUGGGCAAUAGCUGACACUGAGGCGCGACAGCGUGGGGAGCAAACAGGAUUAGAUACCCUGGUAGUCCACGCCGUAAACGAUGGGCACUAGGUGCUUGGGGGAGCGACCCUCUGAGUGCCGGCGCUAACGCAUUAAGUGCCCCGCCUGGGGAGUACGG